AUGAGAAACAAAGUAGUCAAGAGAAUGGAUGACUUUGUGUCAAGCUGGAAUGAGAAACUGACCCAAUCACAAGCAACUCCAUUGAUAGCACGUCUUCUUCAAGAGAUAGAAAAGUACAAGGCAUUCAUCCCAUGCUUGAGGUUUUUAAGAGGUGAUAUGUUCAGUGAAAAGCACUGGGUGGAACUGUUUUCAAUAAUUGAGCAGCCAUACAAGCCUGUGGAGCUCAUUGUUUUUAAUGACUUUCUCCAACAUAAAGAAAUCGUCCAAGACCGCCUCUCUUUAAUUCAGGUAUUUUUCCAAAUUAUAAAAGUGCUGUAAUAUCUCAAACUGCAUUCAGCAGAAAGUCAUCACCAGCCAAUAUUAUGUUUAGCUACAACUCAUCUAUUCAGCUAGUCCUUCAUUUAAUUUUUUUCUCCUCUCAAAAAUGACUUACAGGACAUCAGAUUCUCAUGCAUUUUUCAACUGGAAUUCCUUUAGCGCUUGCAGAACAGCAAAGUGGUUUUAUUUUUAAUUUGACCUGAUGCAGACAAUAUGUAGUGUGAUUGUCAAAAGGUGAUUCAGACAGUUGAACCCCUUUUUUCCAGAUUUACUCCACCCUCCAGUUGUUUUCUCAUUAUGUGCCUCAAAAUCUAAUGCAUCCUGAGCUUUUCCCUUUCUUACAAUAUUAUAUCUCUCCUAUAGCUUUCAAAGGUUGUCUCCCCUCUCCGCUCCCUUUGACAGUCAUCAUGCCAACUGCCAUCGAACAACCAAUUGAGGCGGCUCCAGACGCUGAAAUGAAGACCAUGAUAUUAAUGAAAUCAAGCAAGUGAACAAAUAAAUCUAUCAUAUAGUCCAUAUCGAUGGUGAAACCACAGAAAUCUGUAUCUUGGUUUGCAGUGUCGCAUAUUUUCUGUCAUACUUUAUUUUCUACAUGGAAAAUUACUGAACGUUAUUUUUUUAAAGUUUCAGUGAUGUCUCUUCUCUUUAUGAAGAAUAUUCUGUGAAAACUACAAGCCAUGAUAUUGGUUUGGUCUCCUCUUGAAAAUUAAAAUAGGAGUGGAGACUUCAAAACACCGCAAUCGAGAUAUGCAUUUUCGAAGUUUCAUUAUCAAUAUGUCAUAACCAUUGGUUCAAUGGCCACAAUUUCUCUUUUUUUUCAGAUUAUUUUUAUGUUUAAAAUUAAAAAUUAAUUGUAACUCAGGCAAUUAAAAGAGCACAAACUCUCUACUGCAGCCAAUGAUUGUUCUGUCACUAUCUCUGUGGAAUG
RNAcentral lists this long non-coding RNA (1246 nucleotides) under Bemisia tabaci. RNAcentral's name for it is "lncRNA ENSSSA1UGG007247". The record is from RNAcentral. Lineage: Eukaryota; Metazoa; Arthropoda; Insecta; Hemiptera; Aleyrodidae.